CGAUGGCGUGUGAAUUGCUGGUCUGGAUCCCGGGUUUCUUACUUCCUGGUCACAAAAUGGCUGCCGAAGUCCAUAAGCUAAAUCCUAAUGUGAGUGAACAUGAUCAAGGAUUCAUGACUACAACCCCAAAAUACGGCACUUCUGCCUGUGUGGAAACAACAGAAGCAGGAAGAUUACUCUCAUUUUUCUCUGGCCUUUUUCCCUUGAAGCAGACUAUAAAGAAGAAUCUGACCUUCCUCUGAAGGAAACCUUCAUUCCAGACAUACCCUCCCUAUAUCCAAAGAACAUCUUUAUCUUUAAAGACACAGAGAUGUCAAGAAGAAUCUGAACAAACAGGCUUUGCCAGAUCCCCCAGUUUACUAAUAUUGAACCAUACUCUUUUGUUCUUCAAUCAUACUUCUGCAUGAUGUCCAUAAAAAUACACAGUUUUCCCCAUUCCUUUUGGGUAUUUAUUCCCGAAAGCUUCUGUGUCAU
RNAcentral lists this long non-coding RNA (474 nucleotides) under Homo sapiens (human). Its description in RNAcentral is "HSALNT0330651". The record is from RNAcentral. Lineage: Eukaryota; Metazoa; Chordata; Mammalia; Primates; Hominidae.